RNAcentral lists this ribosomal RNA (876 nucleotides) under Staphylococcus haemolyticus. RNAcentral describes it as "bacterial SSU rRNA". Lineage: Bacteria; Bacillati; Bacillota; Bacilli; Caryophanales; Staphylococcaceae. The record is from RNAcentral.
CCGCAAUUUGUCAUGCUCAGGAUGAACGCUGGCGGCGUGCGUAAUACAUGCAAGUCGAGCGAACAGACAAGGAGCUUGCUCCUUUGACGUUAGCGGCGGACGGGUGAGUAACACGUGGGUAACCUACCUAUAAGACUGGGAUAACUUCGGGAAACCGGAGCUAAUACCGGAUAAUAUUUCGAACCGCAUGGUUCGAUAGUGAAAGAUGGUUUUGCUAUCACUUAUAGAUGGACCCGCGCCGUAUUAGCUAGUAAGGUAACGGCUUACCAAGGCGACGAUACGUAGCCGACCUGAGAGGGUGAUCGGCCACACUGGAACUGAGACACGGUCCAGACUCCUACGGGAGGCAGCAGUAGGGAAUCUUCCGCAAUGGGCGAAAGCCUGACGGAGCAACGCCGCGUGAGUGAUGAAGGUCUUCGGAUCGYAMAACUCUGUUAUUAGGGAAGAACAUACGUGUAAGUAACUAUGCACGUCUUGACGGUACCUAAUCAGAAAGCCACGGCUAACUACGUGCCAGCAGCCGCGGUAAUACGUAGGUGGCAAGCGUUAUCCGGAAUUAUUGGGCGUAAAGCGCGCGUAGGCGGUUUUUUAAGUCUGAUGUGAAAGCCCACGGCUCACCGUGGAGGGUCAUUGGAAACUGAAAACUUGAGUGCAGAAGAGGAAAGUGAUUCCAUGUGUAGCGGUGAAAUGCGCAGAGAUAUGGAGGAACACCAGUGGCGAAGGCGACUUUCUGGUCUGUAACUGACGCUGAUGUGCGAAAGCGUGGGGAUCAAACAGGAUUAGAUACCCUGGUAGUCCACGCGUAAACGAGAGUGCUAAGUGUUAGGGGGUUUCCGCCCCUUAGUGCUGCAGCUAACCGGCAUAAGGCACCCCCCU